AGCAGAUGCGAAACCUAUACAAUGCGCGAAAGCGUGAUAUGGGGAGCCCGCGUGCUUGCGCAAAGCGUAAGCUUUUCUAGAGUGUAAGUAGCUCUAGGAAUAAGUGGUGGGCAAGACCGGUGCCAGCCGCCGCGGUAAUACCGGCGCCACUGGUGGUAGCCGCGUUUAUUGGGCCUAAAGCAUCCGUAGCCGGAUAAGUAGGUUUCCAGUGAAAUCCAACAGCUUAACUGUUGGGCGUGCUGGGAGCACCGCUUAUCUUGAGACCGGGAGGAGUUAAGAGAAUUUCUGGGGGAGCGGUAAAAUGUUGUAAUCCCAGGAGGACUAUCUGUGGCGAAGGCGCUUAACGAGAACGGGUCUGACGGUCAGGGAUGAAAGCUAGGGGAGCAAACCGGAUUAGAUACCCGGGUAGUCCUAGCCGUAAACGCUGCUUGUUUGGUGUUGCAUAUCUUUCGCGGAUAUGCAGUACUGUAGUGAAGACGUUGAACAAGCCGCCUGGGGAGUAUGGUCGCAAGGCUGAAACUUAAAGGAAUUGGCGGGGGGUCACCACAAGGGGUGCAUCCUGCGGUUUAAUUGGAUUAUACCCCCGGAACCUUACCAGGAGCGACAGCAGAAUGAAGGUCAGUCUGAAUGGCAAACUCGACGCGCUGAGAAGAAGUGCAUGGCCAA
Molecule: ribosomal RNA, 666 nt
Filed under: uncultured archaeon
Lineage: Archaea
Description: bacterial SSU rRNA
Rfam family: Archaeal small subunit ribosomal RNA
Source: RNAcentral